AUGAGUGACAGCUGCCAUUAUUAUUGCCAUCAUUGUUAUUUGUAUUAUGAUAUUGUUCCUGGGAUCAGGUUGAAAGAAGAUCUUCAGGUGUUACUGUGUGGGCAGGCGCUGUCCACGCCCCGAGGCCUGGGCUCAGGCCGAAGUUGCUCCACAGCACCCCCAGCUGACAGCCAGCGACUGGCAGAGCCCCCAGGCACGGGGGCCCUCUCUCUUCCAGGUCAGCCGGGUGUCUGCGCUGGAUGGAGCGCUGAGGGAGCCGGGGGUGGUACCUGGAGGAGGCCGGGCCAGUGGGCAGGGGUUGAGCUGUGGCCACUAGACCAUUUGGGGAAUUCAAAUCUAUUUCCUGUCUUAUUGCCCACAGAGAUCUCCAGUGUGACAGCCCAGGCGGCAGAGCCGAGGGUAAGUGGUGGGGGUUCUCCUGGAGCCCUUUGGGGGUAAGGAGCAGGAAGGCUGUGCCCUUGUUAGAGCUUCCUGGCCUUCUCCUUAAGUUUGAUCACCCUGCUGAUGUGCUUCCCUCUCAGAGGCAGGGGUCCUGUUCUUUCUGAGCACAUAGCCAGAUUUCCAAAGGGGAUGAGCUGUCAAUAAGUGAAGCUGGGCCAGGCAUGGUGGCUCACGCCUGUAAUCCCAGUACUUUGGGAGGCCAAGGCGGGUGGAUCAUCUGUGGUCAGGAGCUCAAGACCAGCCUGGCCAACAUGGUGAAACCCCGACUCUACUAAAAUACAAAAAUUAGCCAGGCGUGGUGGCGCGUGCCUGUAAUCCCAGGUACUUGGGAGGCUGACACCUAAGAAUCACUUGCACUAGGAGGCAGAGGUUGCAGUGAGCUGAGAUCACACUACUUCACUCUAGCCUGGGUGACAGAGUGAGACUCUCUUUCAAAAAAAAAAAAAGUGAAACUGGGGCCCAUGAGGGGCUUGCUGUACAUAUGGUGGUUUGAGAAAGGCUGGGAGUCAGCAAGGGGAUUGGGCUUGGGGUGGGGAUGGGAGCUUGGUAAGGAGAUGAGACCUCAGGAGGGAGGGGUCCAGGAGCUCAUCGAGGAUAUGGGAAGCUGAUGAGGAUGUAGGUGUUCAGUAAGGGACCUCCUGCUCUUCCUGCCUGGCAGGUCCUAGUCCCGGCUUCUCGCACCCUCAUGUCAGCCCCGGCCCCGCCCGGCGGCCUGCGGAGGACAAGGUCAGGAUGCGUGUGAAGCCCCAGGGCCUGGUGGUGACUUCCAGUGCCGUGUGCAGCUCUCCUGACUACCUCCGGGAGCCCAAGUACUACCCCGGCGGCCCCCCCACCCCCCGGCCCCUGCUUCCCACCCGGCCCCCUGCCAGCCCACCCGACAAGGCCUUCUCCACCCACGCCUUCUCCGAGAACCCACGCCCACCCCCACGCUGGGACCCCAGCACCCGGCCACCAGUCCUUGCCAGGACCCGCUGCCCCCACGGGCAGCCCGUCCUGUCUCACAGGCCCGCUGCCCCACACCGGCCGGAGACGGCAGCAGCUCCCGACGCUGCUGGGACAACGGGCGGGUGAACCUGCGACCAG
Molecule: long non-coding RNA, 1524 nt
Filed under: Macaca fascicularis (crab-eating macaque)
Lineage: Eukaryota; Metazoa; Chordata; Mammalia; Primates; Cercopithecidae
Description: lncRNA (ENSMFAG00000051810.1)
Source: RNAcentral